Long non-coding RNA from Syngnathus typhle (broad-nosed pipefish), 1565 nucleotides. RefSeq lists it as uncharacterized. The record is from RefSeq and is a predicted model, not a curated record. The transcript has 2 exons. NCBI's taxonomy places the organism in Eukaryota, Metazoa, Chordata, Actinopteri, Syngnathiformes, Syngnathidae.
GAUUGACAUGGCAAGUCCGAUAGCAGGUGGCAAACUUAAACCGUUACCUAAUGAAGAGCAAAGUCGCUCUUAACAGGGGAGGACAUUUUGACUUUCAACGCGUCUUUAUUCAGAAGGUCAUCCGGUUCUUGAAAUUGCGUAAUGGAGUUUAUGAGCGGCAAACAUUUGGCCAAGCGACGGCGCAGCCGGUCGAAACAUUCGAGCGACUCGCACGCGGUCGUGCCUUGUUAGCGGCAGACGGCACGGGCGGACUCAACUGGGAUUUGCAGCCUCGCGUCACCAAUCCCGUUACAAGCAGAUGUGAGCGUCUGCUAACAGGCACGUGAUGGCCUUGCCGCUAUUCAGUCUGCAACUUUGGUUCUGCUCGCCAACUCUGUUACAUCAAAGUUCCUGAGGCCACAGAGCAGGAGAGGCUUAAAGCUCCGAAGGCUCUGUCAGUGGUGCGCCCUGCAACAAGACCUGCGCAGCUUCUAUUCCUGACUGGUGCAUAGAGAAGCCGGCCGGACAUUCUUUCUUGAGGGCAAUGCAGCCCGCGCAAAUGGUUAUUUGUGUAGUUGCCAGGAGAUGGCGCUUGGUGAACGGGCUUCUCCAAAUUCAAAUUAAAUCAGUCAGACAUUCACCGUUAGUCGCUUUGCGCUUUACUAUUUUCUUUCGCAGAGCUGAAAACAGGGCAGCCGCUCCUGACACAAGCGCUUUGGCGUGACCGUGUCAAAGCCAGCAAAACCUCUGGAAGACAAAUGGUGAUUUAUUUUGAAACCUCUUGUCCGCGCCGGUCUCCAGUUGGCCAGAUGCCCGAAAGCGGGAAACGCAGCAGGAAAAGAUGGGGGGGAGGGGGGCCUACGACGUGACCCUACAAGGCCAACCAUCACGCUCGGAUCGCAUAUCGGCUCGCCUUUGCGCAUAUUAACGCCACAUGGGUGUUCCAUGUAUACGAUUUUAGCACCGUCUUUUGGAUGGCCAAUCUCAACACUGGCUAAAGUCUUGAGAAGAGUGCACGAGGACGCUAAACGCUCGCCGACGUGUCAACGUUUUCAGGAUUGCCGAGCGGAAUCACCGGAGAUCCUCCGAGUUGUAACUAGGAUUGAAAAGACGUCUUCCUAAGCAGGGCUCUCCUUUUACACGCAAAGAGCAGACUCAUCAUAUGCCGCGGACAGCUGACACUGCAGCAACGCCUGGGAGCCGUGUAAUCAGAGGCCCGGCAGCUUAUUCCGAGCAUGCAAAUAGAGCUGACGAGCCGGGUGGCCGACGUUUGCCUCAGCCGCACUUUGACGGCAACCCUCCCAACCUAUGGGGGGAAAACGAAAAUGAAACGCCGCCCCUCCUGGGUGCAAACCUUUUUUGGAAAACGCCUGGGAGUGGGUUAACAUGGGGCAGUCCAGCGGUUUAAUGUUAAGCUCCUUAACGCAGUCGUAUCGGUUACCUUGUGGAGUCACAAUCAUGAAGCGCUACCAGAAUGCUGUAAGCAGAAAUUCUGAUGUCUGUACAAGCGUAAAUAUGAAGACUCCAAAGAAUAUAUUAUGGAGCUCUACAGAUUCAUUAUUAAAAGGCAAAUCCAUUGUGGGAAA